Molecule: ribosomal RNA, 252 nt
Filed under: uncultured bacterium
Lineage: Bacteria
Description: partial 16S ribosomal RNA
Rfam family: Bacterial small subunit ribosomal RNA
Source: RNAcentral
UACGAAGGGUGCAAGCGUUGCUCGGAAUUAUUGGGCGUAAAGGGUAGGUAGGUGGUUACGUAUGUCUGGGGUGAAAUCCCUGAGCUUAACUCAGGAAGUGCCUUGGAACGGCGUAACUAGAGUACUAGAGAGGUUCGUGGAAUUCCCGGUGUAGCGGUGAAAUGCGUAGAGAUCGGGAGGAACAUCAGAGGCGAAGGCGGCGAACUGGAUAGUAACUGACACUGAACUACGAAAGCGUGGGUAGCAAACAGG